AGUUUGAUCGGAUCCUUGGCUCGUUCAACAUCUCAAGUCCACUCAUGGAGAUCCAUCCAAAUUCAAAGUGCCUGCAGAAGUGUGGAUAAAAAUAAAGGAAGUUCUUUUAAAGCAUUGGUCAUUAUUAAAUCCAAAGUUAACAUUUAGUGUGCAGGACAUUGUGAGUGCCUUACCGGGAACCAAACCACCAAAAAGAGCAAAAAGUUGUGUUAAUUUUCUUUGGGAAACAAAUUAAAUUGAUUGGAAUGGUGUUGUGCGACAAGGAUCCGGUCAAAUUCACAUCGAAAUUCAGCCUGGAAAAUAAACAAAUCCUCCGCAAAAAAAACUCAACUCUCUAAAUCUCUGAAAAAUCUAUUUUCCUAAUAAGGAAGGAGAUAUUCUUAAGAAGAGUUUGUGUUAAUUUUUCAUAUACAAAAAAAAUUCGAGAAAAUUGGAAAAUACAAAAAAGAGGAAAAAUUGGAAUUGCGCAACCCGGAAGUGUUGACGCAGAAUUUUGUGAAGCACAAAAAUUGGCGCAAAAAUGAGCUAAAAAAAAAAUGAUGAAAAGUGAAUUUUAGCGAAAAUAAAGUUUAAGCACAUUUUAAACGUGUAGCUUGUAAGGAUAGUGAGGACUCAACGAGGAGUUCUCAAAUUAAUAAUUUAAUUUUUCUUAAUAAUUUAAUUUUGGAGCGUCACAGAAUCUUAUCACUUAACGUAUAAUAGUAAAAGAAAAAGAAAAUGGGAAAAUAGUUGCAGAAGAUUCUAACCAAGUCGCCAUCUUGUGUUCACAGUGCUCACAGAAGAGGCAAAGAAAAAAAAGACAAAUGAGAAAAUGCAGGACACACGCAGAGAAAAGUCAAUGAGAAAAUUUGUGAGAAAAAUGGAUCGAUAUGGCGGAACAUCACUUUCUUCGAGGCGUCGUGUAAAGGAGCAAAAACGGAGCAAAAAGGAUGGAAAAUUUUUGCUUAAGAAAAAACCACCCCUCGGCCCAACACAGAAACACACCACCGAAUGUAUCUACAAAUCCGGCGACGUCAAAUACGAGAGAUUCCGGCCCACACAGUGUUAAGGAUGGAAGCAGCAGCAGCAGCAGCAGCAAAAAAAUUCACAAUGGAAUGCAAGAGGAUAUGUCUACACACUAUCCCAAUACUUUCACGCACAGCCAACAUACAUAUUGGCGUUACACAUAAAUCCCCUCAUUAUCCUGAAGGAAGAAAAAUGCGAAUAAAAAGGACCAAAAGCACACACACAUACAGUUGUUGUUCAGGAGGAGGACCCACGGAGGAGAAAAUUCUCACACACACACAGAUGCAAAAAUAAGAAGGAAAUCAUAGUUUCAUAAAUCCCCCCGAAAGAUGAGUGUAUCCUGGAGGAGAGAUGCAGCCAACACCGCCAUCAAUCAAUGUGUGGAAUCAACGUGUGUUAUCAUAGAGAAGCAAAAACAGCCGAAGGAGAAAUUUCCGGAAAAUUCAUUCACCAAUACAUCCACGCAGCAGGAGAAAAUCACACCAAAAGGACAUCGAAGGGGAUGUUUGCCUACCCCUUAUCCUCGGACGCACCAAAGCUCUCGUCGGAAGCUUCACAGCAGCAGCAGCAGCAGCAGCAGUAGGAUUUUCGGGCAUCCACCGCGGAUGCCCUGCUAAGUAUCAUCCUCAAAAGGAUCAUCUUUUUGUUUUUUUUUUUAACUAAACAUGUUUUUUUAUAACCCUAUGUCCUAUCUUUUGUGCUUCAGAGCAGCACUUAGCUUAAGAAACCUUUUUUUAAUGCCACGAAACUUUUUUUUUGUUAGUAUCUUUUCUUUAAGUAAUCUCUUCAUUUCUUCAUUUAAAACCAAAACACAUUUUUUUUUUACAAUAAUUCUUUUCACCAAUGACGCCCACUCAUUCAGGAUUUAUUGAAUUUGACUAGGACACAAAAAAUGCAUGCAAAACCCAAAAAAAAUGAAACAUUUUCAAGGGAAAAAAAUAAACCAUUUCGUGAUUAAUAAAAAAAAAAGUAAUUUGGUGGAAUUGUACCUGAGCAGAGAAGUCAAUCAAAAACAAAAUAAAGAAAAGAAUAAAAAAUUAAAAAUCAGACAAAAUUGAAAAAUUUUCCUCGUGACCUUAUUUUUGGAAAAAAAAAAUAUUCAAAAUUUCAAAAAUAACGCGUCAAACCACAUAGAAAUGAAAGAUUCUCAAAUGAAUUAUAUAAAUAUUUAGUCACAGGCCAAGUUAAGUGAUUGAAAAAAAAACAAUAAUAAAAUAAAAUGCAUGAAGAUUUACAUAUUUUUAUUAUUCCAUCAGUUAGAAAAUACUGACCACAAAUUAUUUGGCAGUGUUUCUCACAAAUGGGGCAAAAAAUAGUAUGGCAAAAAAAACAUUUUUAUGAAAGAAAUAUAAAUUCAGAGAACUUUUCAAUUUGUCUGGAAAAUAAACACGGAAACAAAGCCAAAAUUAUAAAUUAAAAAAUAAAAUAGGAAAAAUUAAGAGAAAAUCCUUAAUCCCUUUCAGUCCAUCAUACGGGAUGAGUCGAGAAAAUAGUAGGAAAAUGAAGUUUAAUAAAAAAAAUCAACCCAAGGAAAUAGCGGAAAAUUUAAUUAUCCAUUCAAUACAAAAUGGUUAAAAAGAACCCAAAAACGGGAGAAAAAUUCAAAAUCCCAAAAUAGCCGCCAAAAAAACGUGAAAUAAUCAUCCUAAUUUAAAACUGAGAUCAAACGAAAUCAUUCCAUGGAACCCACUGGUGCUAAAUAUUUCGAAAGAAAACUUAUUUAAUCAACUUUGAAAGUCUAUUUAACGUAAAAAAAAAAGUAUUUUUAUAGAGAAAAAUUUAUAUUUGUUGUCAUAAAGAAAUAGACAGAGUUUUGUUGUACAAUCGAAGCAAAAAAAAGAAGUAAAAACCAUCCACUUUCUCAAUGGACUCGAAGGGAUUAGGAGAUAUAUAGGAAGAACCUAAAAACCCUUUUCAAUUCCAAAAGAAAGUGAUAAAAUUUCACCUACAAAAAGCGCAAUCAAAAUCAUAAUUUGAAAAAUUAAAAAAAUUCCGCCAAAAUCACUUGGAAAAGUGGUCAGAUUUAAUAAAGUUGAAUAAUAAAAAUAGCUUUUAAGUCAUUUUUUUCAUUUAAAUACGAGUGAUGAUAGCUUUGAAUUUUUGUUCUUAAAUAUUAAAAUAAGCUCAUAAUGCUCAAACUAAUAUUUUUUAAUCUCUUCCAGAAUUUUUUUUAAUGCGUGCGGAUUUUAUUUUAUAGCUUUAAUUGUAUACUCCGAUUGCAUUCUUACGACGAUAAAAAAACAAUUUUCUAAAAGAAAAACUUUUCAAAUAUAAACGAUAAAAAAAAUUGAGAUAUAUCACGGUGAUGUAGUUAGAAAAAUAAUUUGAAAAAAAAUCCAAAAAUCAACUCGAGCUGCAAUUGCAAAAUUAUUCUCAAAAAAUGCAUUCAAAACAGAUUCAAAAUCAGCGUAAAAAAUUCAAAAGUUAAACAAUAAAAAAAACUAUAGAAAGGAUUUUAUUGAAGUUAGUCGUGAAAAAUAAAUUUCAAUGCAAAGAAAUAUUUAGGAAAAUCAAAAGAAAAAGAAGAAAUUGCAGAUUUUUAAGAAAUAAUUAGGUUUUAAAAAACAAAACGUGAAAAAUUAUUGGGCCGUUGGAUAAAAUAGAGGUUUAGCCGUGAUUUUAGGGUCACAGAGCUUGUAUAAAAAAUCCUCUAGGUUACCUUCAGCCUCGCAAGAAGGGAGUUUUUGAAAUUUAUUUAAAAGUAAAAAAAACUCUUUUGACAAAAAACUCAAAAUUAAAUAGCAAAAAACCUAACAACUUUUAAUCAAAAAAUCGUUCAGAAGCCAAGAAAGAAAAAUCAACGUAAAAAAAUAUAUAUUUUGCAACAUUUGAAAGCAAAAAAGAAAAUUUCUGUGAUUUCUUCAUCAAAACUAGAAGGAAAAAAGGUUAAGCCUUUCUUGGACGUUUAAUUGAAAUUGCGUCCCCCAAAAUAAUCGGUUGUCUUCCAUGCGGAAUUUCACAUUAGAUGUCGUAUUUAUAAGUAAAUCCUCCGACAAAUGGAGAUUUUGGCCCAUAUUAUAUAGCUUUUUGGAUAUUUAGAAUGAUGUCUUUUGAUAAAUGCUUCACCGGUUCUCAAUGGUCCCCUAUAACAUAAGUUUUUAGGCACAAAACCAACAAAUUGCGGCUCGAGCCAUCCAUCGAAUUUUCCCAUUUACCACACCGCGAACUUUUGAUGUUCUUGAUUAUCAAUCCUUCUUCCCACAUUUUCUCUUGUCUUCCCAUCACACAAUUUCAAAUAUAACAAUCUGCCCUGGACCACACAUAUGUAGUACACCUCUAAUAAUUACCCCCAAUUCUUCUAUUUUAUCAAAUUCACCCUCAAUGCAUUUUAUCUCUUUCUCUCUCUCCCUGCUAAAAAGAUAUAGAAAUUAAAGGAAAAAACGUUGCACCCCCUCAAAACAUUUCUUGUCUGAUGAAUGUUCUUUGUUGGCGGCGACUUCAGGGUGCUGUGAAAAGCCCACCCCCAUCGGUUUUCCUCAAUCCCCUCUGGCAAAGGGAAAAUCUCUAAUCGAGAAUCUUGAGAUUUCUCGCAUUUGAGCGUGUCUCGGCGAACCCCUUUUGCUGGUGAAAAUUGCACAUACCCACCCCGCAUCCAUGGGCGGAAAUCUGAAAAUUCAAACCUUGAAAUUCAUGCUGAAAUAUCUCGCUUCAUCUCUUCACCGGGACGAUUACGGGGGGUUGGUGGUCUGAAGAAGUAAUUUUGAUAAUACGGAAAUAGAUUUGGACGAAUAGUGUGCUAAAAGGGGUUGGACCAGUCGGUUUCCAACCCCAUCCUUCCGAAAAUACCCAACAAAAUCAUCAUCCAAAAGUGGAUUAAUUUUAAUUAGUCUACGGGAGCUCUCAAAGACAACCCGGUAUGCAAAAAAAAUAAUAAUUUAAAAAGAAAAUUUACAAAAUUAUAUGAAAAAAAAAUAGGACUGGGAUACAAAUUGAAGGAAAAUUCCUUGGAUGUGGGGAAUGUGCAGAGAGGGAUGAAAUUGCUAUAUAUGUAGGUAUCAUGACAAAAUUCAAAAACACUUCCAAAACCACCCAGACAUCCCCUAUAGCAUUGCCAUUGCGCCCCCUGCAAGACUUCCACGCCACGCCGGGAGGAAAGAGGGUGGACUUUGAUUAAUAUUUCACAAUGUAUUUAAUAAAUUGAAGAUUUGUCUGAGGGGGCUGAGGAAUGAGGGUUGGGGGCUGAAGACGCCACUUGAAAAUUUUCCUUGGAGAAACUUGGUGAAAUACCAUCGAUAGUUUUGGCCAUUUUAGUAUUCACAACAUAAAUACAAUUAAGGGAGUCUUGUAUGACCAUCAACCUUUACACACCCCCCAUUUGACCAAAUUUAACUCCCUUUUGCAACCAAAAAGCACUUUCUCUCCGGCAAUGUGUUCAUAUUAGCACCCCCUUUUACGUCUCGGAAGCCACAUCAAAUAUCUCUUCGUUUUCUUGAAGAAAAUUCACAACCCCCAUGCACACAAAAAGAAUGAGGAGGAUGCAACAUAUUUGGAAAUAAAAUAUCAAAAAUUAGAAUUUUAUUUAACCCACAAAAAAAUAUUUAAGGAAAAUUCAUCCCUUUUCUCUCUAUAAUUUUCAAUAAUAAUUAUUUGAUUACUUUGCAAAAAAAUAAAUAAAUCAAAAACCGCGAUAAAAAUCAACCCUAAAAUUUUUUAAAUAGUUCAGAAGCAAGUCAGAAAAUAUUAUCAAAAAAAAUCCGCUGCUAAAACUACAUCACCAAAAUAAAACAACCAGAAAACCACGAAAGAAAUCCCCAGAAGAAAAUAUUUUGGGGAAGCAAAAAGAAAGUUUAAAGAAAAAUAUUUUAAUUGUUCAGAAAACGCGGGACAACCCUUAAAUUCAAUCCCACUAGACUCCCCUCUAUCUGUCUUUUCUGCACCAAAUCUGGAGCCAGGCAGCUGAAGAAAAAAAAAACGUCCCCCUGUCUUAACUUGAGACACAAAACCACCCCCUUUGUGAUUCCAAAGACUCAAAAUGUGUUCUUGUUGGACCCAAAACAUCAUCUUUUUAAGCCCAACCCCAUAGCAGAGACUUAAGUAAACAUAUAGCUAAACCUCAAGAAGGAUUUUCCACAAUUGCGUACAAAUCCUCCCUGAGAAGGAACUUUGAAACAUCAAAAACAUAAAUUAACCCCCAAUAUUUUUUUUUCUACGAAUUUCGCCAUUAGUUUUCCUUUUAAAAUGCCGAAUGGAAAUUUUAAUUUAAAUAUAAAAAAAUAUUAUUUCUUGUACUUUUAAUUAGCUGGCAGAUUUUGGGAUUUGGGGGUGGAAAAAUAAGCAAAAAUGAAAAUUAAUUCAGAAAAAUUAAUUCAAAAACUAUAGACAGAAAAAUUAGUCUUAGAAACAAAAUCAAAUCAAUAGCAAAAAUUCUAACAGAAGAACGUGAAAAAAAAUUGAAAGAAAUAGCCAAAAAAAAUCUGAAAAAAAUAAACUUGAAAAAUUAUUUAGGGGAAUGUUCCGUUUGAGAUUGAAGAAAAAUAAAACCCGAAAAAUUCAAAAUCAAAAUCCGAAAAUUAUAUUGACAGCGCGAUAGCAACGCAGAGCUAGGCCCUUAACGUCUUCAAACGGACAAUUUUGUAGGUGCGUAUUUUGCGAAAAUUUAAUUUUCGUUUUAUUUCUAUUCUAGUUUUUUUAAUAAUUAUUUAUUCCUCUUAUUUUUGAAAGAAUUUUUUUUAAACUUUUUUUUAAUGUAUUUUGAAUUAUUUUCUUCCUCCAAUAGGGAUUGUAAUUUGUUACUUUCUAAACCCAAUUGGCUUUAACAAAUUGGCUAAAAGAAUUGGCAAAAAAAAUUGGCAAUUUUCUUAGAAAUAAAAAAAAACCUAGCAAAAGAAUUUCACUAAAAAGAAUAAAAUUGAAAAAACAACAAUUAAAAAAAAAUAAAUCUCUUGGAGUUAUUUGUGAAGAAAACAAUUCAAAGUACAUUUUAUUUGGGGAAUUUUCAAGGAGAAUUUCCUUGCGUCUGUGAAUUAUUUAUCAUAGUGUCUGUCUUUUGGCCAACAAAGAAAUAGCAAAAAAAAGUAAGAUAAAUGUGUAAAGACCGUAAAAAACCCGACUCAAUAGUGCUAAAACAUUGAUGACCACCCUUCUGUAUCGUUGCCAUCAACAACCCUUUCGACCAACAACAAAUACUUCACAGAAGCGAUAAAUUUUCCUCUAAAAAAUUCUUUUUUUCGUGCUAUUUUUUCAUAAACAUUUUUUUAGUGUAAUUAAUUCUUAAAGAAUUUAUUGACUUAAAGUGUGUUUAAAUUUGCCCUUUGCUAAAAUUCAUUUUAAUGAAGAAACAAAAACAAAUUGGCCAUAAUUUAAUUAAGGGAAAAUUAACACAAACUGUUGCAAGAAUAGAACCAUGCGACAGAGACACAUAAAAAAAAUGAAUGAAAUAGAAAGAAAUAAAAAAAAUCCAGACGAUAGACUUAGAAACAUUGUAUGAGAACAAGAACAAAAGGAAAAAAAAGAAGAAAAGCAUAAAAUGCUAUAAAUUAUAUAGAAUAUAAGCAGUUGAAAUGGAAAUAGCAUCAGAACAAACACACAAAAAACAACCCUCUUCUUUGCAAAAAGAAAACCAUCAAGUACACAUAAAAAAGACGCCAUCAGCCAUCUUCCUUUCAUGUGCAACCCCUCGCAAAAGUAUCUCAAAAUCGCAUUAUUCUCCCUCAUCAAUUUUGCAAGCAAAAGUUCCAUCCCCUUCUCUUUAUUCCAACGACAAUUCCGAGAGAUUUUUUUUUUGUUGUAUUCUUCUGGGCCCAUUUCCGAGGGAUGGCUGCUUUGGCAAGAAAUUCAGCAUCUAACGACCAAAGUUGCGAGAAAAAUCACCCCAUUAAUUGCACAAGAAAAAAAAGCAUCCAAUUGCCAAGAAAAAAAACCAACGCAAAAUCACAUUAAAAAAAAAUAAUAAUAAUGAAGAAAAAAUGGAAAAAGAAGCGCCACAUCAAUUGCAAUAUCUACCCUAAAGUUCCAAUUUAUUUUAUUUAAUAACCCCUUUUUUUAAAAUAAUAUUUUCUAGAUAUUCUUUUUUGUAGUCAUUAAAUAAUUUCUCAAACAACCCCCUCCCCCCCCACUUUAAAUGCAAUCCAAGACGCUUAUAAUGAAGAAUAAAUCGAUAGAAAAACCCUCCAAAAAAUUAAUUUACUUUUUUUUUACAAAGAAUUUUCGUGAAAGGCGCGGGAAUUUUCGUAAUAGUCAAAAAAGAAAGAAUCCUCCACCACGAAAUUAAGGAAAAAAAUGAGAGAAAAAAUCCCGAGAAAACCAAAUCCCAAGCCAAAAAGCCAUUGAAGCAAAAGAUUAAUCCAAAAAAAAGGAGGACAAAGAUGAAAUAAUUAAAUCAUUGAGCAUCUCAUAAUUCAUUGUUUAUGAUAAAACUUGCGACAUUAAUGUUACCCGCAAAAUGCACAAGAUAUGUGGGCAAUAGUUCUUCACUCUUGUGGCUUUUUUUGCACAACCCUCUACCCUUAAAAUGAUGUAUUGUCCCCACAGCCCCACACUCCCUCGUCUUUCGCGAUUCAGUGGAUACAAUUUAUAAUGAAUGAGAAACACUGGCAUUUAAAAUAUUAUAAACUAGCAAAUUGCUUUCUGUUUUCAUUGGAAAAAAUAAUUUAUAUUUUAAUAUUUAUUUAUCUCAAAAUAUCACCCAAAAAAGAGAUUCAGAAAGAAUGAGGGCAGGAAAAUUGAGCGUAACCCCCAUUGCAGCGAGAAAUAUUUAAAAAAAGAAAGAAUAAGAAAAAAAUGUAUAGACUCUGUAUCGAGACACUUUUAGUCAAAAAAAAAACAAAGUUAUAAUGAAAGAAAGAAGAAAAGUAUUGUAGGAAAUAUUUAAUUUUGUAACAUGAUCAAAAAAUGUACCAAGUACGGAAUUUCGUUGAUUGUAAUAAAAAAGAGAAAUGAUAAAUUGUAAUGAAUUUUGUAAUGAAUAAAUUUUUGAAAGGAAUUCAA
This is a long non-coding RNA of Lutzomyia longipalpis, 8931 nucleotides long. RefSeq lists it as uncharacterized. The record is from RefSeq and is a predicted model, not a curated record. Lineage: Eukaryota; Metazoa; Arthropoda; Insecta; Diptera; Psychodidae. The transcript is spliced from 2 exons.